UGCGGUGUAGAGCAGUUCGGAGUGCUCGCUUGGCUCAUAACCAAGAGGCCGUCGGUUCAAAUCCGACCACCGCAAC
RNAcentral lists this transfer RNA (76 nucleotides) under Mycobacterium phage PegLeg. Its description in RNAcentral is "tRNA-Met". It matches the Rfam family "tRNA". From Rfam's summary of the family: Transfer RNA (tRNA) molecules are approximately 80 nucleotides in length. Their secondary structure includes four short double-helical elements and three loops (D, anti-codon, and T loops). Further hydrogen bonds mediate the characteristic L-shaped molecular structure. tRNAs have two regions of fundamental functional importance: the anti-codon, which is responsible for specific mRNA codon recognition, and the 3' end, to which the tRNAs corresponding amino acid is attached (by aminoacyl-tRNA synthetases). tRNAs cope with the degeneracy of the genetic code in two manners: having more than one tRNA (with a specific anti-codon) for a particular amino acid; and 'wobble' base-pairing, i.e. permitting non-standard base-pairing at the 3rd anti-codon position. The record is from RNAcentral. Lineage: Duplodnaviria; Heunggongvirae; Uroviricota; Caudoviricetes; Vilmaviridae.